Molecule: long non-coding RNA, 97 nt
Organism: Maniola jurtina (meadow brown)
Lineage: Eukaryota; Metazoa; Arthropoda; Insecta; Lepidoptera; Nymphalidae
Exons: 3
Source: RefSeq, a predicted model, not a curated record
AAAAUCAAUGAUUAGGUAGUCAGUGGCAUGCAGGUCAUAGAAGCAUAAAAGCACUGCUUACCCUGAUUGAAAUAGCUCAAUGCUUAUCUCUCAAUGA